AUGUUUCACUGUUGAGGCUGCUCAGUGGCGUAGGGCACAUGCUGGUAACUAACCUCCACAUUUAACAUCUAGGGCAUGAGUCAGAGGACAGCAUGUCUACACUGGCUGGAAGGCGAGGAAUGAGACCAAAAAUGAUGAUGCCCUUUGACUCCCAGCCACCCCAGCCUGUGAUUAGUGCCCAUCCCAUCCAUUCCCUCGAUAACCCUCACCAUCAUUUCCACUCCAGCAGCCUCGCUUCUCCAGCUCGCAGUCAUCUCUACCACCCGGGCAGCCCAUGGCCCAUUGGCACAUCCAUGUCCCUUUCAGACAGGGCCAAUUCCACAGAAUCCGUUCGAAAUACCCCCAGCACUGACACCAUGCCAGCCUCUUCGUCUCAAACAUGCUGCACUGAUCACCAGGACCCUGAAGGUGCUACCAGCUCCUCUUACUUGGCCAGCUCCCAAGAGGAAGAUUCAGGCCAGAGUCUUCCUACUGCCCAUGUUCGCCCUUCCCACCCAUUGAAGAGCUUCGCCGUGCCAGCAAUCCCGCCUCCAGGACCUCCCACCUAUGAUCCUGCAUUGCCAAGCACACCAUUACUGUCCCAGCAAGCUCUGAACCAUCACAUUCACUCAGUGAAGACAGCCUCCAUCGGGACUCUAGGAAGGAGCCGGCCUCCUAUGCCAGUGGUUGUUCCCAGUGCCCCUGAAGUGCAGGAGACCACAAGGAUGUUGGAAGACUCCGAGAGUAGCUAUGAACCAGAUGAGCUGACCAAAGAGAUGGCCCACCUGGAAGGACUAAUGAAGGACCUAAACGCUAUCACAACAGCAUGACGACCUUCACCAGGACAUGACUUCAAACCUGAGUCUGGAAGUCUUGGAACUUACCCUUGAAAACAAGGAAUUGUACAGAGUACGAGAGGACAGCACUUGAGAACACAGAAUGAGCCAGCAGACUGGCCAGCACCUCUGUGUAGGGCUGGCUCCAGGCAUGGCCACCUGCCUUCCCCUGGUCAGCCUGGAAGAAGCCUGUGUCGAGGCAGCUUCCCUUUGCCUGCUGAUAUUCUGCAG
Molecule: small RNA, 1046 nt
Filed under: Pan troglodytes (chimpanzee)
Lineage: Eukaryota; Metazoa; Chordata; Mammalia; Primates; Hominidae
Description: retained intron
Source: RNAcentral